AAACGACUCUCGACAACGGAUAUCUCGGCUCUCGCAUCGAUGAAGAACGUAGUGAAAUGCGAUACUUGGUGUGAAUUGCAGAAUCCCGUGAACCAUCGAGUUUUUGAACGCAAGUUGCGCCCGAAGCCUUCUGGCCGAGGGCACGUCUGCCUGGGCGU
RNAcentral lists this ribosomal RNA (158 nucleotides) under Begonia cathayana. RNAcentral describes it as "5.8S ribosomal RNA". It matches the Rfam family "5.8S ribosomal RNA". Rfam says of the family: 5.8S ribosomal RNA (5.8S rRNA) is a component of the large subunit of the eukaryotic ribosome. It is transcribed by RNA polymerase I as part of the 45S precursor that also contains 18S and 28S rRNA. The record is from RNAcentral. Lineage: Eukaryota; Viridiplantae; Streptophyta; Magnoliopsida; Cucurbitales; Begoniaceae.